This 469-nucleotide ribosomal RNA is filed under the name uncultured bacterium. RNAcentral describes it as "bacterial SSU rRNA". It matches the Rfam family "Bacterial small subunit ribosomal RNA", at positions 335 to 798 of the family's 1533-position model. The record is from RNAcentral.
ACUCCUACGGGAGGCAGCAGUAGGGAAUCUUCCGCAAUGGACGAAAGUCUGACGGAGCAACGCCGCGUGAGUGAUGAAGGUUUUCGGAUCGUAAAGCUCUGUUGCCAGGGAAGAACGUCUUAGAGAGUAACUGCUCUAAGAGUGACGGUACCUGAGAAGAAAGCCCCGCUAACUACGUGCCAGCAGCCGCGGUAAUACGUAGGGGCGAAGCGUUGUCCGGAAUUAUUGGGCGUAAAGCGCGCGCAGGCGGCUAUGUAAGUCUGGUGUAUAACCUCAGGGCUCAACCCUGGGUCGCACUGGAAACUGUGUAGCUUGAGUACAGAAGAGGAAAGUGGAAUUCCACGUGUAGCGGUGAAAUGCGUAGAGAUGUGGAGGAACACCAGUGGCGAAGGCGACUUUCUGGGCUGUAACUGACGCUGAGGCGCGAAAGCGUGGGGAGCAAACAGGAUUAGAUACCCUGGUAGACAUC